GAUAGUAAAGGGCUUAGUUCAUCUUUGGGAAAAAGUAAAAGAACAAUUGGAUAACUAAGUCUUCAGCUAAAGAUAAAUAAAAGAGAGUUAUUUAUCUCUUAGUAAAGGAAAGGAUGGCCAUAUCAUCCAUUAUUUGGUUGUAACUCAAGAGAAGGGUUUCCUCCUUCAAAAUAGAACUUAGCAAGAAUAACAUAAGUUAACAAGAUGAAUAUGAGGACAAUAAAUCAGAUUUAGGAUUUAAUAGGCAUCAUAAUAUUAAGGAGGAUUUCAUCUUUCUCUAGAACAGAGAUUAACAAGAAAAUAUAAAUUAAAAGAGGAAUAUAAAACAAAAGGGAAGGAUUUAGGGUUUACCUUAGUUGAGGAAGAAGAGGAGAGAGGUUGGUAUCUUGCACUAAGGACAAGGAGGAGGAGGAGGA
RNAcentral lists this long non-coding RNA (416 nucleotides) under Elaeis guineensis (African oil palm). Its description in RNAcentral is "long non-coding RNA (EGUI_LNC027826)". The record is from RNAcentral. Lineage: Eukaryota; Viridiplantae; Streptophyta; Magnoliopsida; Arecales; Arecaceae.